AUGGGAAAUCUGGCGCGCUGUCCCGGCGCCAAAUCUAGCCUCACCCCCUUUCACUCGCUCAACCAUAGCCACUACCCCCUUUCUUCCCUACUGCCUCACCACCGGCGGCGGCUGCGUUUUCAGAUCUGCGCUAGAGGAGGCGGCGGCGGCGGAGGAAGAGGCGGCGGCGUUUGCGGCGGAUCUGGUGCUCCCCUUGCUAUUGGCCACCGUCUGGUCGACCUAGUCUGUGCCAUGGCUCCCCCUACGCCGUCCUCGUCUCCGAUGCUGGUUAUGGACACACGGAUGAGGUUGAUAAUCCAGGCAGCAGCACUGAUUAGUGUGAUUCAGGCAUGGGCCAUGUUCAUGCACCAGAGAGCUGUUCGUUGUGCUGGGAGACCUUUGAUCCGCUAUGGUCCAUUGUUUCUCCGGGAACAGGAGAGGAUCCAAAAUCUGAACUACAUCUACAACUGCAAUGACGUCGAGGCUCUGUGGAUGCUUCGAAUGAAAAAAGCACCAUUUGCCAGGCUUGUCGAGACCUUCAGGAGCAGGGGGCUGCUACAAGAUAGCAUCAACACCAGUGUCGAAGAGCAAGUGGCCAUGUUCCUCCAUGUUGUUGGCCAUAACCAAAGGUUCAGGGUCAUUCACAACAUGUUCAGGAGAUCAAUGGAGACCAUCUCUAGGUACUUCAAGCAGGUGCUUUUUGCUAUUGGGGAGCUUAGAGGAGAGAUGAUCAGGAGACCAUCUGGCCAGACUCCACCCAAGAUUCGCGGAAGCCCAAGAUGGUAUCCAUACUUCAAGGUGAGCAUUGACAAUAUACACUUUUCAAGGCUUGAUAUGCUUGUAUUGUUCAAGUUGAGCACUAACACAGGCUUGUGA
This 855-nucleotide ribosomal RNA is filed under the name Triticum aestivum (bread wheat). RNAcentral describes it as "partial small subunit ribosomal RNA". Lineage: Eukaryota; Viridiplantae; Streptophyta; Magnoliopsida; Poales; Poaceae. The record is from RNAcentral.